RNAcentral lists this ribosomal RNA (710 nucleotides) under uncultured anaerobic ammonium-oxidizing bacterium. RNAcentral describes it as "bacterial SSU rRNA". It matches the Rfam family "Bacterial small subunit ribosomal RNA", at positions 358 to 1051 of the family's 1533-position model. The record is from RNAcentral.
AGAAUCUUUCGCAAUGCCCGAAAGGGUGACGAAGCGACGCCGCGUGUGGGAAGAAGGCCUUCGGGUUGUAAACCACUGUCGGGAGUUAGGAAAUGUAAGGGUGUUAAUAGUAUCCUUACUUGACUAAGGCUCCGGAGGAAGCCACGGCUAACUCUGUGCCAGCAGCCGCGGUAAUACAGAGGCGGCAAGCGUUGUUCGGAAUUAUUGGGCGUAAAGAGCACGUAGGCGGCCUUGUAAGUCAGUUGUGAAAGCCUUCUGCUUAACGGAAGAACAGCAGCUGAUACUGCAAGGCUAGAGUGCGGAAGGGGAGAGUGGAACUUCUGGUGGAGCGGUGAAAUGCGUAGAUAUCAGAAGGAACACCGGCGGCGAAGGCGACUCUCUGGUCCGUAACUGACGCUGAGUGUGCGAAAGCUAGGGGAGCAAACGGGAUUAGAUACCCCGGUAGUCCUAGCCGUAAACGAUGGGCACUAAGUAGAGGGGUUUUGAUUAUCUCUCUGCCGGAGCUAACGCAUUAAGUGCCCCGCCUGGGGAGUACGGCCGCAAGGCUAAAACUCAAAAGAAUUGACGGGGGCUCGCACAAGCGGUGGAGCAUGUGGCUUAAUUCGAUGCAACGCGAAGAACCUUACCGGGGUUUGACAUGGUAGAAGUAGGAGCCUGAAAGGGUGACGAACGGUAUCCAGUCCGUGACUAUCACAGGUGUUGCAUGGCUG